GCCAGCAGUCAUAUCACUCUGCAACUCACAACUCGCAGCCCACUGAAGCUAAGCAGGUGUGAGCCUGGUCAGUACCUGGAUGGGAGACCUCCUGGGAGAAACUAAGGUUGUUGCUGGAA
Molecule: ribosomal RNA, 119 nt
Filed under: Lepisosteus oculatus (spotted gar)
Lineage: Eukaryota; Metazoa; Chordata; Actinopteri; Semionotiformes; Lepisosteidae
Source: RNAcentral